UAUUAAUAAUUUCAUUCAUUCGUACCGUUAAAAACUAGUGUGAUUGAUGAAAUAAUUAGACAAUGACAUGUCACAUGCCACAUGUAACUAUGCUAAUGUACAGAGACCAAUUUUUAAUAGCAUAAAUGAAUAAAAAUUUUAACU
Non-coding RNA from Gossypium hirsutum (cotton), 144 nucleotides. Lineage: Eukaryota; Viridiplantae; Streptophyta; Magnoliopsida; Malvales; Malvaceae. The record is from Rfam.